GAUGAACGCUGGCGGCGUGCCUAAUACAUGCAAGUCGAACGCAUUGAGAGAAGUGCUUGCACUUUUCAAUUUGAGUGGCGAACGGGUGAGUAACACGUGGGCAACCUACCUGAUAGCGGGGGAUAACGAGUGGAAACAUUCGCUAAUACCGCAUAACAAUAGAGAAGGCAUCUUCUUUAUUUAAAAGGCGCUUUCAAGCGUCACUAGCAGAUGGGCCCGCGGUGCAUUAGUUAGUUGGUGGGGUGAAGGCCUACCAAGACGAUGAUGCAUAGCCGAGUUGAGAGACUGCUCGGCCACAUUGGGACUGAGACACGGCCCCAACUCCUACGGGAGGCUGCAGUAGGGAAUCUUCCACAAUGGACGAAAGUCUGAUGGAGCAACGCCGCGUGUGUGAUGAAGGCUUUCGGGUCGUAAAGCACUGUUGUAUGGGAAGAAAUGCUAGGCUAGGAAAUGAGCUUAGUUUGACGGUACCAUACCAGAAAGGGACGGCUAAAUACGUGCCAGCCGCCGCAGUAA
RNAcentral lists this ribosomal RNA (516 nucleotides) under uncultured bacterium. RNAcentral's name for it is "partial 16S ribosomal RNA". It matches the Rfam family "Bacterial small subunit ribosomal RNA", at positions 28 to 523 of the family's 1533-position model. The record is from RNAcentral.